Misgurnus anguillicaudatus (oriental weatherfish) is the source of this 1943-nucleotide non-coding RNA. NCBI's taxonomy places the organism in Eukaryota, Metazoa, Chordata, Actinopteri, Cypriniformes, Cobitidae. The record is from RefSeq and is a predicted model, not a curated record.
UAAACGUUUUUAAUGUUAUCAUGAAUCAAUGUUAUAGUUUUGUAUGUCACAUUAUUUUUUGAGAAGAGUCAUGACUGAACGCGGACCUUACACGCUGUUAUUUUUUUGUGUGCGUAUGGCCAAGGUACAGUGCGCUCUUUUGCACUAUGACCAGCCAUCAGUAGGCCUAAAUCGAAAUACAGUAAAAAAAAAUGAGCGCGAAACCCUGACACUUUACAGAAAGGCACGGAUAUCCCCGCCCGAAGAAAAAAAGAACACAGGACAAUGGUUGCAAGUUAAACAGCUGAACAUUUCACCAUCUGCAAAGAACAUUUCACCAUCAACAUAUUAACAUAAACGGUUCUCUUUUUGCGUUUGGUACAGGUGGAGGAGUUUGACUGCGUUUGGUACAGGUCACAACAACGACGGCAGAUGUAGAGACCACGCUUUCCCUUGCUUCCACUCCACGGCUGAUCAUGCUUGAGGAUCCAGAUCUACAAAACAAAAAAUGGAUGCUGCCGAUUGAAGGCUAAGUCCGAUUUCCUGCGAUUGACCUACCAUUUCUUCAGCAUUUGCUGUUCACUUUGGUUGCUACUACGUGCUCAACAUCGAGUACCAUGUGCAAGCAGCCACUACUUUGGAGUUUAUUCAGAGAUUUAUUGUGAGGAUCAGCCCCGACAACAGCAAGUGCUCCUCUAACUUCCAGGUGAGCAAAAGAAGUGGGAAGAUGGUGCAAAGGAAGAACUCUGGCCUGAACCAUCAUGUGUAUAUAUCCACCUUUAUUAAGGACUUUAUGAAUUAAGCAAAACUAUUAAGCAACUAAAGCAAAUACAUUCUACUCAACUCACCAGAGGUUUGUGAAGUUCUUUUUUUUCUUAAAGGUUUCUUUUAGUUAAUUUGUCCAUGCACUGAUUUAUAAUAUUGUAAUAUGAAACUCCAGUGUAUACAUGUUACUACUGUUGCUUCUAAAAGCAAAAUAAGUCUAUGCAGGAGAGGUUUUGUUACGUUUUUUUUUUUAAAUUAUUCUUAUAGACGGUUUCAUCGGACGCACAUGACACACGUCUGGAUCCGAUCCUUACUUCCGGUUUCGCUUUUUUAAUGGUCUGACUAGUUGCUAAACUGAUCUCUUGAACAAAAGCCUCGUUGAAAAUAACAAAUGUUUUGGUUUCCGAGCUAAUCUAUGUGUUGUUUUUUUGCUUGUUAUAUAAAUAAAAUGCGUUUAAAGAAGUUUGUUGUUUUUUAUUCUUAGCGGAGUUUAUCGGAAGUUCAUGCGGACCGCGACAGCCGCUUGUUUAUGAUGUUACUGCUGAAACCGUCUAUAGUUAUAACUGAAUUUGUACUAGUAUUAUUUGAUAAUACUGUGAAAUGAAACAGUGAGUAAAUGUUACAUUGGCUUUGAAAAAGAUGUUGCUGCAAGAAAUUACAAUUUACUCAGAAUAAUAUUUUGAAUGUAUAAGUUUUUGACAUUGCUUAUGACUGCAUUUGAAUGUAUUUUUCAUGAAUUGAUGCUGUGAUAUGUGUGUGUAAAUGUUUUGUAUUUUACUCAGGAAAGUAUUUUGUAUUUGAACAUUGUUAUUAUGACUGAGUUAGUUCAUGACUUGAUUUAAAAUUCUGUAAUAUGAUAUCUAUGAGUAAAUGUUAUUGCAGGUUUAAGAAAAACAGUUUGUGAUGCAAGCUGAAAGUUCAGUGUGCAAAAAAUAUGAAAAUCUGAUUUCAUGUAUUUGAAAAACUAAAAGAAAUUUUAAAAACAUGUUGUCAUUGCUUAUUUUUGUUAUUUACUUAGAGCUGUUUUAACACCUCCAUUUAAAUUUUGUGCAGUUUUGUAGUAAAUAGAAAUGGGAAAAUGAAUCACAGGAAAUUUUACGGUAAAAUACACAUUGUAAUAUAUACAUUGUAGUAUAAAAUUAUUGUAUAUUUUACAGUAGAAAAUAUAAAAUACUGUAAAUACAGUUACAGCAUGUUAA